Molecule: transfer RNA, 73 nt
Filed under: Stegodyphus mimosarum
Lineage: Eukaryota; Metazoa; Arthropoda; Arachnida; Araneae; Eresidae
Rfam family: tRNA
About the family: Transfer RNA (tRNA) molecules are approximately 80 nucleotides in length. Their secondary structure includes four short double-helical elements and three loops (D, anti-codon, and T loops). Further hydrogen bonds mediate the characteristic L-shaped molecular structure. tRNAs have two regions of fundamental functional importance: the anti-codon, which is responsible for specific mRNA codon recognition, and the 3' end, to which the tRNAs corresponding amino acid is attached (by aminoacyl-tRNA synthetases). tRNAs cope with the degeneracy of the genetic code in two manners: having more than one tRNA (with a specific anti-codon) for a particular amino acid; and 'wobble' base-pairing, i.e. permitting non-standard base-pairing at the 3rd anti-codon position.
Source: Rfam by way of RNAcentral
GCCUUCGUGGUGUAGUGGUCAGUACGCUCGACGCGUAACCGAGAGCUCCAUGGUUCGAUUCCCGGUGAAGGUG